UGGGGUGCCAACAGCGGACCAAUCAAUCUCAACCUUCCUAGCCAACCGAAUGAAGCCGGCCCGAUAUCACAUGUGGGCCCGUGGUCGACACGUUUAUUCUCAAGGCGAUCGGGAUGCCAGUUGAAAUCCAAGACAACUUGCUGAUAAACGGUUGAUUCGAGGUGGGGCCAGCUUUUGUGACUAACUCCACUGAGGGCAUUCUACUGGAAGAAGACAGAUUUCACUCAAUCUGCAUUACAACAGUGGUCUGUGAUGGGAAUAGUGAAAUAUAUAGACUUCCAAACACUUCUUAGUCCCAAAAGGCAAUGCUGCAAUCGAGAUCGUCUCAGGCGAUAUCUCCGGGAUCUGAACAACAGUGGUGCUCAAGAAGGGUUCUACCUACAACUUGGAGUUUGUGAUGGCUGACACCAACAAUUCAUGCACAGGCAAUUUCAUAGUAGAAGCCCAAGGAGGCCCAUCUGCUCAAAACUUCACAUUACAAAGCAAUGGCACGGGCACUACCCAAAAAUUCUCUAUGUUGCUCAAAGCAGAUUCAAAUACAACUCCUAUCAGUUUCCCUAGUUUCACUCAGGAGCAGACAAAGGAUUUCGCAUUUUGCGGCCCUGUGAUUGAUGAUGUGGUUCUUCGCGCUACUUCAUGUGGAUCGUUAUCCGGUGUCAAGAGUGGGGUUCUGUUUUCUUGUAUUGUUUUCAUUGUGAGUGCCCUAAAUAUAAUUGGGUGAAGCAACUGUUUGUUUCAAUAAUAAUUCAGCUGCCAGUGAGGCAUUAUUCUAA
This is a long non-coding RNA of Magnolia sinica, 773 nucleotides long. RefSeq lists it as uncharacterized. The record is from RefSeq and is a predicted model, not a curated record. Lineage: Eukaryota; Viridiplantae; Streptophyta; Magnoliopsida; Magnoliales; Magnoliaceae. The transcript has 2 exons.